This 1416-nucleotide ribosomal RNA is filed under the name Triticum aestivum (bread wheat). RNAcentral's name for it is "partial small subunit ribosomal RNA". Lineage: Eukaryota; Viridiplantae; Streptophyta; Magnoliopsida; Poales; Poaceae. The record is from RNAcentral.
AUGUCGGAAGAGAGCUGCCGCCAACCUGAGACCAGUCCGGAUGCCGCACAAUCCAACACCACGAUCUUGUCUGGGGACCGUAAUGAGCAGUUGAAGCAGUUGUUGGAGCUCAAGUGGAAGCAUGCUCAUCCUCGCGCCUGCAGCAGCGUUCUUUUGGACUACAGAAGCCAAGAUUCCCUCGACUUGCUGCCGCAGCGGGGGUUUGAGUGUGAGUUGGGGCCUGAGUCUGAGUCAGAGCCAGAGCAAGACCUUGAGUCUGAGUCAGAGCCAGAACAAGACCUUGAGUCCGAGCCAGAACUCGAGCCGGAGCUAACAUUCUUGGAGAAGACGUGGCAGGUUCUUCACAUACUUCUCUGCAAACAGUUAGCUGACCUUGACCCAAAGAGGAAUGCUCUUGUCCCUACCCGCGUGUGCAAGUUCAACAUAGCCUUCUUUAACCUUGACAUAGAGUCUGCGGUUAUCCAUGGACCGCCACUUAAAGAGCUACCUUCUUGUGACUGGAGCAAGACUGUGGCAUCAUCUGUCAACAUUGUGUCCUUGAAGGUUAUCAAAUCCGAUGUGGGCUACCCUAUCAGUGUAUUUGGUAUUGUUCUCGCAAGGGAUGCGGUCGACUACAAAUGUGUGUAUCUCUUCAAGCGUGGAAGGGAUGAUCCCCAGCUCAUCAACUCUUCGGAGGAUGAAUUAACUUUAACAGGACCGCGUCGAGCAUUUAUUGCACGAGAUAGCAUGUUUUUUGAGAUUAACUUAAAGAUCAAGGGUGCUUCUGGGAUUGCAGAAGGAGAUUUUAGCAAAGGUGUAGUGGAGCACAAUCUCAACUGCUAUGGUGGUCGAGCUAUGGCUCGGUGUCUGACUAGUUGGCGUAGCACAGUUGAAUUGGUAUGCAUCCCUGUUCGGCAUCCUGUGGAAGCCACCCUUGAAGUCAAAAUUCUGGAGGGACCUCAUGGUGUGCCUUUCCGUGGCAAAGUGAUUGCUUGGACCGAUGACUUCGAAGAGAAUCCUAUGACCCUAUUCGAAUACGAUGAUGACAGCAGCGAAGAGGUUGCAGGUGGUCAGGGAUUAGUCAGAGACGAUGGCUCUCUUGCGCUAGCUCGUAAUUUGAUAGCUGUCCCUAUCAACAGGGAUGACGGAGAAAUGGUGCUCAAUGUCUGCUUUGUUGGUAACCAUGAUGAAAACGAAGGCAUUGUGGUUGCUCUGCAAUACCCUUGUGAAGAGGAGUUUUGCACAUAUGGUUCCUACGUACUUCAGUUGAAGGUUGCAUGGAAAGCUAUUCUAACCAGGCCAAUGUCGAGAGAAGUCCAUAACAGAUUGUUUUCUCUGCCACAGCCCCAACUAACUGUUAACUCGUGGAUGUGGGAGUUGGUAUUCCAAGGUAGUCGCGGAUCCUUUGGUGAAAAUAUAAUUUAUGAUACAUAUUAG